This 760-nucleotide long non-coding RNA is filed under the name Gossypium raimondii (Peruvian cotton). Its description in RNAcentral is "long non-coding RNA (GRAI_LNC006817)". The record is from RNAcentral. Lineage: Eukaryota; Viridiplantae; Streptophyta; Magnoliopsida; Malvales; Malvaceae.
UCGUGAAUGAGUUUGUUUCUAAAGGACCAUAUCAACCAUAACGCAUAGCAGAAAAGCCGACACUGGUAAUUGUUGUUGUUCUUGAAAACCCAGGUUAGCCACUCCCAUGUAUUUUGACUCGUAUUCUCCAUGACCCAUGCUAAGUUUAAUGCUUGCCACACUUCUCUUGUAAAAGGACACUCUCGGAAAACAUGAAGACUCUCUUCUACUCCAAAAUAACAUCGUGGACAGCGGGCAGUUGAAUUAACCCUCCUCAACCUGAGAUUACCAAAGUGAGGGAUAUAAUCCCAUGAAAUCCUCCAGAUUGUAAUUGCAAUUUUUGAAGGCAAUUGUAGGCUCCAUAAUUUUUUGUAAAAAUUUCUUAUUUCGGUCUGUAAUAGGUAGUCAUUAGCUGUAGAAGCAUCUUGUAGUAGUUUAUACGCACUACGUACUGAAAACUCACCAGAUAGUUCUCCACUCCACACCUGAAUAUCCUCAUGUUCGGUCUCUGCCAGAGGAAUUUGUAGAAUCUUCCGAGCAGUAUCUUCUUGAAAGGUACUUUUAAUUAAGUCUGACUUCCAUUUUCUACUUGAAUUGUCAAUGAGGUCUGAAACUAACUGUAAUUCUCUUCUGUUUGUGCUAUUAAGCUCAGCCACCUUGUCAAUCCCCUGAAUCCAGUUGUCUUCCCAGAUAGAAAUGCUACUCCCUUUACCAACUCUCCAACCCAAUCCUCUUUGGAGAAGUCCUUUUGCCGCCCAGAUGCUCUUCCAGGUAAAUGAAG